Trichobilharzia regenti is the source of this 45-nucleotide non-coding RNA. Lineage: Eukaryota; Metazoa; Platyhelminthes; Trematoda; Strigeidida; Schistosomatidae. The record is from Rfam.
AUCCAUAUGACGAGUCCUAAAUAGGACGAAAUGUGCAUCUUGGAU